UACGUAGGGGGCAAGCGUUAUCCGGAUUUACUGGUGUAAGGGGGGCGCAGACGGUCACGCAAGUCUGAAGUGAAACCCCGCGGCUCAACCGCGGGCUUGCUUUGGAAGCUGUGUAACUGGAGUGUCGGAGGGGUAAGCGGAAUUCCCGGUGUAGCGGUGAAAUGCGUAGAUAUCGGGAAGAACACCGGCGGCGAAGGCGGCUUACUGGACGACAACUGACGUUGAGGCCCGAAGGCGUGGGGAGCAAACA
Molecule: ribosomal RNA, 250 nt
Filed under: uncultured prokaryote
Description: partial 16S ribosomal RNA
Rfam family: Bacterial small subunit ribosomal RNA
Source: RNAcentral